UAGCUAGUUGGUGAGGUAAAGGCUUACCAAGGCGACGAUCUGUAGCGGGUCUGAGAGGAUGAUCCACCACACUGGAACUGAGACACGGUCCAGACUCCUACGGGAGGCAGCAGUGGGGAAUUUUGGACAAUGGGGGCAACCCUGAUCCAGCCAUGCCGCGUGAGUGAAGAAGGCCUUCGGGUUGUAAAGCUCUUUCGGCCGGGAAGAAAUCGCAUGGGCCAAUACCCUGUGUGGAUGACGGUACCGGAAUAAGAAGCACCGGCUAACUACGUGCCAGCAGCCGCGGUAAUACGUAGGGUGCGAGCGUUAAUCGGAAUUACUGGGCGUAAAGCGUGCUCAGGCGGUUUUGUAAGACAGGCGUGAAAUCCCCGGGCUUAACCUGGGAACUGCGUUUGUGACUGCAAGGCUAGAGUACGGCAGAGGGGGGUGGAAUUCCACGUGUAGCAGUGAAAUGCGUAGAGAUGUGGAGGAACACCAAUGGCGAAGGCAGCCCCCUGGGUCGAUACUGACGCUCAUGCACGAAAGCGUGGGUAGCAAACAGGAUUAGAUACCCUGGUAGUCCACGCCCUAAACUAUGUCAACUAGGUGUUGGGUGGGUAAAACCAUUUAGUACCGUAGCUAACGCGUGAAGUUGACCGCCUGGGGAGUACGGCCGCAAGGUUAAAACUCAAAGGAAUUGACGGGGACCCGCACAAGCGGUGGAUGAUGUGGAUUAAUUCGAUGCAACGCGAAAAACCUUACCUACCCUUGACAUGCCAGGAACUUGCCAGAGAUGGCUUGGUGCCCGAAAGGGAGCCUGGACACAGGUGCUGCAUGGCUGUCGUCAGCUCGUGUCGUGAGAUGUUGGGUUAAGUCCCGCAACGAGCGCAACCCUUGUCGUUAAUUGCCAUCAUUUAGUUGGGCACUUUAACGAGACUGCCGGUGACAAACCGGAGGAAGGUGGGGAUGACGUCAAGUCCUCAUGGCCCUUAUGGGUAGGGCUUCACACGUCAUACAAUGGUCGGUACAAAGGGUUGCCAAGCCGCGAGGCGGAGCCAAUCCCAGAAAGCCGAUCGUAGCCCGGAUUGCAGGCUGCAACUCGCCUGCAUGAAGUCGGAAUCGCUAGUAAUCGUGGAUCAGCAUGUCACGGUGAAUACGUUCCCGGGUCUUGUACACACCGCCCGUCACACCAUGGGAGCGGGUUCCGCCAGAAGUAGGUAGCCUAACCGCAAGGGGGGCGCUUACCACGGCGGGGUUCGUGACUGGGGUGAAGUCGUAACAAGGUAGCCGUAGGGGAACCUGCGGCUG
RNAcentral lists this ribosomal RNA (1287 nucleotides) under metagenome. Its description in RNAcentral is "bacterial SSU rRNA". It matches the Rfam family "Bacterial small subunit ribosomal RNA", at positions 242 to 1520 of the family's 1533-position model. The record is from RNAcentral.